RNAcentral lists this ribosomal RNA (357 nucleotides) under Buthus occitanus mardochei (Moroccan scorpion). RNAcentral describes it as "partial 16S ribosomal RNA". Lineage: Eukaryota; Metazoa; Arthropoda; Arachnida; Scorpiones; Buthidae. The record is from RNAcentral.
UCCUUUUUAAACUUUUACGCAAAAAAGGAAUUUUAAUUCAACAUCGAGGUCAUAACCUCACUUGUCAAUUAGAUCUUUUAAAGUGAAUUAAGCUGUUAUCCCUAAAGUAACUUAUUCCUUUUUUAGAAUUCCUAGAUAUUAAAACAAGUCUGUUUUUUCUUUUAAGAAAAGAUUUUUCUCUUACCGCCCCAGUCAAAUACUUUUCUCUUUUAUUAUCAGAAAAAAAUAUAAAGUUUUAUAGGGUCUUCUUGUCAAAAAGAAGUAUUUUAGCCUUCUUACUAAAAAGUAAAAUUCAUUUUUUUAGAUAAAAAAAAAUUCUCCCGGUUUACUCUUUCAUUCCAGUCUCAAAUUAAAAGA